This 76-nucleotide transfer RNA is filed under the name Chloroflexota bacterium. RNAcentral's name for it is "Chloroflexi bacterium (groundwater metagenome) tRNA-Lys". It matches the Rfam family "tRNA". From Rfam's summary of the family: Transfer RNA (tRNA) molecules are approximately 80 nucleotides in length. Their secondary structure includes four short double-helical elements and three loops (D, anti-codon, and T loops). The record is from RNAcentral. Lineage: Bacteria; Bacillati; Chloroflexota.
GGCCCGCUAGCUCAAUUGGCAGAGCAGCGGACUCUUAAUCCGCGGGUUAGAGGUUCGACUCCUCUGCGGGUCACCA